This 253-nucleotide ribosomal RNA is filed under the name uncultured bacterium. Its description in RNAcentral is "partial 16S ribosomal RNA". It matches the Rfam family "Bacterial small subunit ribosomal RNA", at positions 524 to 776 of the family's 1533-position model. The record is from RNAcentral.
UACGUAGGGUGCAAGCGUUGUCCGGAUUUAUUGGGCGUAAAGAGCGUGUAGGCGGUUCGGUAAGUCUGUCGUGAAAUCCUGAGGCUCAACCUCGGGCGUGCGAUGGAUACUGCCGGGCUAGAGGGUGGUAGAGGCGAGUGGAAUUCCUGGUGUAGCGGUGAAAUGCGCAGAUAUCAGGAAGAACACCUAUGGCGAAGGCAGCACUCUGGGACGGUACUGACGCUGAGACGCGAAAGCGUGGGGAGCGAACAGG